Molecule: ribosomal RNA, 237 nt
Filed under: uncultured Staphylococcus sp.
Lineage: Bacteria; Bacillati; Bacillota; Bacilli; Caryophanales; Staphylococcaceae
Description: partial 16S ribosomal RNA
Rfam family: Bacterial small subunit ribosomal RNA
Source: RNAcentral
CGGGUGAGUAACACGUGGAUAACCUACCUAUAAGACUGGGAUAACUUAGGGAAACCGGAGCUAAUACCGGAUAAUAUUUUGAACCGCAUGGUUCAAAAGUGAAAGACGGUCUUGCUGUCACUUAUAGAUGGAUCCGCGCUGCAUUAGCUAGUUGGUAAGGUAACGGCUUACCAAGGCAACGAUGCAUAGCCGACCUGAGAGGGUGAUAGGCCACACUGGAACUGAGACACGGUCCAG